Molecule: RNase P RNA, 346 nt
Filed under: Methanohalophilus euhalobius
Lineage: Archaea; Methanobacteriati; Methanobacteriota; Methanomicrobia; Methanosarcinales; Methanosarcinaceae
Description: Archaeal RNase P
Rfam family: Archaeal RNase P
About the family: Ribonuclease P (RNase P) is a ubiquitous endoribonuclease, found in archaea, bacteria and eukarya as well as chloroplasts and mitochondria. Its best characterised activity is the generation of mature 5'-ends of tRNAs by cleaving the 5'-leader elements of precursor-tRNAs.
Source: RNAcentral
GAGAGAGGGAGGGCAGUUUCCGGGCCUUCUGGUCUGAGGAAAGUCUCCCCACCUUCCGGACACGCGAAUACCUGUAAAGGGUAUCGGGCGAGAGCCCGGGCAGCCGGGAAACCGGCUCUUGCGGUUUUACCGCAUGAUGGCACAGAAACGAUACCGGCCUGCGUUAAAGCAAUGAUAUGAAAAAUUGAGGUCGCGCAGGGUACGGAUGGAACGGCGAAUCCUCGCGGGUGCAAGUCGAAAUGGGAUCAAAGUUGUUGUUCGGACAACCUCCGUUUUGGUGUGACGCUUAGCCGAAUACUGCCAAUGCAUCUUUGCAUCAACAGAAGGGAGCUUACUCCCCUCACUC